UAACACAUGCAAGUCGAACGGCAGCACGGGAGCAAUCCUGGUGGCGAGUGGCGAACGGGUGAGUAAUACAUCGGAACGUGCCCAAUCGUGGGGGAUAACGCAGCGAAAGCUGUGCUAAUACCGCAUGAGAUCUACGGAUGAAAGCAGGGGACCGCAAGGCCUUGCGCGAAUGGAGCGGCCGAUGGCAGAUUAGGUAGUUGGUGAGGUAAAGGCUCACCAAGCCUGCGAUCUGUAGCUGGUCUGAGAGGACGACCAGCCACACUGGGACUGAGCACGGGCCCAAGACUCCUACGGGAGGCAGCAGUGGGGAAUUUUGGACAAUGGGCGCAAGCCUGAUCCAGCCAUGCCGCGUGCAGGAUGAAGGCCUUCGGGUUGUAAACUGCUUUUGUACGGAACGAAAAGGCUUUCUCUAAUAAAGGGAGCUCAUGACGGUACCGUAAGAAUUAGCCAUUAG
Molecule: ribosomal RNA, 454 nt
Filed under: uncultured soil bacterium L3
Lineage: Bacteria
Description: bacterial SSU rRNA
Rfam family: Bacterial small subunit ribosomal RNA
Source: RNAcentral